RNAcentral lists this ribosomal RNA (550 nucleotides) under Sutcliffiella horikoshii. Its description in RNAcentral is "bacterial SSU rRNA". It matches the Rfam family "Bacterial small subunit ribosomal RNA", at positions 51 to 585 of the family's 1533-position model. RNAcentral also lists the same sequence under 1 other name. The record is from RNAcentral. Lineage: Bacteria; Bacillati; Bacillota; Bacilli; Caryophanales; Bacillaceae.
AUAAUGCAGUCGAGCGGACCUUUUAAAGCUUGCUUUUGAAAGGUCAGCGGCGGACGGGUGAGUAACACGUGGGCAACCUGCCUGUAAGACUGGGAUAACUUCGGGAAACCGGAGCUAAUACCGGAUAAUAUAAGGAACCUCCUGGUUCUUUAUUGAAAGAUGGUUUCGGCUAUCACUUACAGAUGGGCCCGCGGCGCAUUAGCUAGUUGGUGAGGUAACGGCUCACCAAGGCGACGAUGCGUAGCCGACCUGAGAGGGUGAUCGGCCACACUGGGACUGAGACACGGCCCAGACUCCUACGGGAGGCAGCAGUAGGGAAUCUUCCACAAUGGACGAAAGUCUGAUGGAGCAACGCCGCGUGAGCGAUGAAGGCCUUCGGGUCGUAAAGCUCUGUUGUUAGGGAAGAACAAGUGCGAGAGUAACUGCUCGCACCUUGACGGUACCUAACCAGAAAGCCACGGCUAACUACGUGCCAGCAGCCGCGGUAAUACGUAGGUGGCAAGCGUUGUCCGGAAUUAUUGGGCGUAAAGCGCGCGCAGGUGGUCCUUUA